AUUGAACGCUGGCGGCAGGCCUAACACAUGCCAGUCGAGCGGAUGAAGGGAGCUUGCUCCUGGAUUCAGCGGCGGACGGGUGAGUAAUGCCUAGGAAUCUUCCUGGUAGUGGGGGAUAACGUCCGGAAACGGGCGCUAAUACCGCAUACGUCCUGAGGGAGAAAGUGGGGGAUCUUCGGACCUCACGCUAUCAGAUGAGCCUAGGUCGGAUUAGCUAGUUGGUGGGGUAAAGGCCUACCAAGGCGACGAUCCGUAACUGGUCUGAGAGGAUGAUCAGUCACACUGGAACGGAUACACGGUCCAGAGUGCUACGGGAGGCGGCAGUGGGGAAUAUUGGACAAUGGGCGAAAGCAUGAUCCAGCCAUGCCGCGUGUGUGAAGAAGGUCUUCGGAUUGUAAAGCACUUUAAGUUGGGAGGAAGGGCAGUAAGUUAAUACCUUGCUGUUUUGACGUUACCAACAGAAUAAGCACCGGCUAACUUCGUG
This 484-nucleotide ribosomal RNA is filed under the name uncultured bacterium. RNAcentral's name for it is "partial 16S ribosomal RNA". It matches the Rfam family "Bacterial small subunit ribosomal RNA", at positions 30 to 507 of the family's 1533-position model. The record is from RNAcentral.